UACGUAGGGGGCAAGCGUUGUCCGGAAUCAUUGGGCGUAAAGAGCGUGUAGGCGGCUCGAUAAGUCUGCUGUGAAAGUCCAGGGCUCAACCUGGGAAUGGCAUUGGAUACUGGCUCGCUAGAGUGCGGUAGAGGGUGGUGGAAUUCCCGGUGUAGCAGUGAAAUGCGUAGAGAUCGGGAGGAACAUCUGUGGCGAAGGCGGCCACCUGGACCAACACUGACACUGAGGCACGAAAGCGUGGGGAGCAAACAGG
Molecule: ribosomal RNA, 253 nt
Filed under: uncultured bacterium
Lineage: Bacteria
Description: partial 16S ribosomal RNA
Rfam family: Bacterial small subunit ribosomal RNA
Source: RNAcentral